ACUUAGCGGCGGACGGGUGAGUAAUACUUAGGAAUCUGCCUAUUAGUGGGGGACAACAUUUCGAAAGGAAUGCUAAUACCGCAUACGUCCUACGGGAGAAAGCAGGGGAUCACUUGUGACCUUGCGCUAAUAGAUGAGCCUAAGUCGGAUUAGCUAGUUGGUGGGGUAAAGGCCUACCAAGGCGACGAUCUGUAGCGGGUCUGAGAGGAUGAUCCGCCACACUGGGACUGAGACACGGCCCAGACUCCUACGGGAGGCAGCAGUGGGGAAUAUUGGACAAUGGGGGGAACCCUGAUCCAGCCAUGCCGCGUGUGUGAAGAAGGCCUUAUGGUUGUAAAGCACUUUAAGCGAGGAGGAGGCUCUCUUGGUUAAUACCCAAGAUGAGUGGACGUUACUCGCAGAAUAAGCACCGGCUAACUCUGUGCCAGCAGCCGCGGUAAU
This 441-nucleotide ribosomal RNA is filed under the name uncultured bacterium. Its description in RNAcentral is "bacterial SSU rRNA". It matches the Rfam family "Bacterial small subunit ribosomal RNA", at positions 90 to 524 of the family's 1533-position model. The record is from RNAcentral.